GACGAACCGUGCAAACGUUAUUCGGAAUCACUGGGCUUAAAGAGCGCGUAGGCGGCGUCGUAAGUUGGAGGUGAAAUCCCAUCGGCUCAACCGUGGAACUGCCCCCAAUACUGCGACGCUUGAGGGAGGUAGGGGCGUGUGGAACUUCCAGUGGAGCGGUGAAAUGUGUUGAUAUUGGAAGGAACGCCAGUGGCGAAAGCGACACGCUGGAUCUCUUCUGACGCUGAGGCGCGAAAGCUAGGGGAGCAAACGGG
This 254-nucleotide ribosomal RNA is filed under the name uncultured bacterium. Its description in RNAcentral is "partial 16S ribosomal RNA". It matches the Rfam family "Bacterial small subunit ribosomal RNA", at positions 524 to 776 of the family's 1533-position model. The record is from RNAcentral.